GCUUAGCUCAGGUGGUAGAGCAUUCGACUUUUAAUCGAACGGUCGAGGGUUCGAGUCCCUCAGCGCC
Molecule: transfer RNA, 67 nt
Filed under: marine eukaryotic metagenome
Rfam family: tRNA
About the family: Transfer RNA (tRNA) molecules are approximately 80 nucleotides in length. Their secondary structure includes four short double-helical elements and three loops (D, anti-codon, and T loops).
Source: RNAcentral